CAAAUAUCACAAAGCCCUCAGAUUCCGAGGACUGUGUGAUUCAAAUAAAUAUGCAUAAAUCACAACUUCUUGUGAUUUGAAGAUUGAGAUCAUAUCUCAACCGUAAAAGAGAUCAGAUCUCUUACCUUUAGAAGGGGGUUCCUUCAAGGAUGCUUCGCAGCCGCACAAGCGUCCGGCCUCGAUGACUCAUCCAUGCGAAGCUCCGGAAUGAUCAGCUUUCCGGAGAGUGCUAGCUCGCAGGGAGGCAGAAGGUUGACUGAAAGGGAGAAGAAGGAAGAAGAUGGACCUUCACAGCUCAAGAACUCCUUCUUGGGCUUUCACCUUCAGAGCUACUCUCUCCUCUCACUCUCUUUCUCUAGUGCUCUUGAUC
RNAcentral lists this long non-coding RNA (370 nucleotides) under Phoenix dactylifera (date palm). RNAcentral describes it as "long non-coding RNA (PDAC_LNC010418)". Lineage: Eukaryota; Viridiplantae; Streptophyta; Magnoliopsida; Arecales; Arecaceae. The record is from RNAcentral.